Molecule: ribosomal RNA, 315 nt
Filed under: Paenibacillus sp. VT-400
Lineage: Bacteria; Bacillati; Bacillota; Bacilli; Caryophanales; Paenibacillaceae
Description: bacterial LSU rRNA
Rfam family: Bacterial large subunit ribosomal RNA
Source: RNAcentral
GUACUAAUGCACGGAACUGCCUCGGGGAGCUGUAAGCAAGCUUUGAUCCGGGGGUGUCCGAAUGGGGAAACCCAGCUGGGGUAAUUUCCAGUUACUCAUAACUGAAUACAUAGGUUGUGUAGAGGCAUACCAGGGGAACUGAAACAUCUAAGUACCCUGAGGAAGAGAAAACAAUAGUGAUUCCGUCAGUAGCGGCGAGCGAACGCUGAGUACGUGGACGUAGACCCGAAACCGGGUGAUCUACCCCUGUCCAGGGUGAAGGUGCGGUAACACGCACUGGAGGCCCGAACCCACGCAUGUUGAAAAAUGCGGGGA